GCCCUCCGGUUGAUCCUGGCGGAGGCUGCUGCUAUUGGAAUUCGACUAAGCCAUGCGAGUCAAGGUGUCUUCGGACGCCGGCAUACGGCUCAGUAACACGUAGGUAACCUACCCUCAGGACUGAGAUAACCCCGGGAAACUGGGGCUAAUAUUAGAUAGAUAAAAGAUACUGGAAUGUUCUUUUAUUCAAAGCUUUUGCGCCUGAGGAUGGGCCUGCGCCCGAUUAGGUUGUUGGUGGGGUAAUGGCCCACCAAGCCUAUGAUCGGUACGGGCAGUGGGAGCUGAAGCCCGGAGUUGGGGACUGAGACAAGGCCCCAGGCCCUACGGGGCGCAGCAGGCGCGAAACCUCUGCAAUGCGGGAAACCGUGACUGGGGAAUUCCAAGUGCUCAUGCAUUGCAUGGGCUGUUCUUUGGUCUAAGUAACCAGAGGAGUAAGGGCUGGGCAAGACC
This 450-nucleotide ribosomal RNA is filed under the name uncultured archaeon. Its description in RNAcentral is "bacterial SSU rRNA". It matches the Rfam family "Archaeal small subunit ribosomal RNA", at positions 1 to 453 of the family's 1478-position model. The record is from RNAcentral.